This 2341-nucleotide small RNA is filed under the name Pan troglodytes (chimpanzee). RNAcentral describes it as "processed transcript". Lineage: Eukaryota; Metazoa; Chordata; Mammalia; Primates; Hominidae. The record is from RNAcentral.
UCUCUCUCUCUCUCUCUCUCUGCUUCAGUUUCAUUGAUUUUUAUUGAUCUGUCAUCAAAUUCACUAAUCCUUUCUUCUGGUUUAUCUAGUCUGCUAUUAAAUCUAAAUCUGUGGGCUUUUAAAAUGGGCUUUUAAUUUCAGAUGUGCUUUGUAAUUGUAGAAUGUUCACUUGGUUCUUUUUAUACAUUCUGUUUCUCUGUUGAAAUUCAUCUUCCCAUCCCAUGUUCCUUCUGCCAUCUUUUCCUCUAUUUUCUUUUUAAAAUUUAUUAUUAUUUUUUUCUCUAGCGCAUAUCAGCCAGAUAUUUUCUUUAACAUAUUUAUAACAGAUAGUGCCAUUGCCUGUUAAUUCCAAUACUGCAUCAUCUGCAGGUCUGCCUCUGUCAGCUGUUUUUCCCCUUAUUUCCCCUUUAAAGUGGUUGUAAGUCACAUUUUCUGCUUCUUUGUAUAUCUUAAAUGUUUAAAUUGUAUGCCAGACAUUGUAUAUAAAAAGAAUGUAGAAACCAAAGCUGAGGUUUCCCCUGCAGAGGAAGCUGCUCUUUCCUGUUAGGCAGUUCGAUUAAGGGCUUAUCACCUCAAUUCAACCAUUAAUUGAUCUAGGUUGGGGCAAGGUUGUAGCUUUAGAUAGACUUAGUUUAUCUUGAGUUUCAAAUUUCUUGAUGGGAAAAAGUGUUUUUUUUUUUUUUGAGACGCUCACCCUGUCGCCCAGGCUGGAGUGCAGUGGCAAGAUCUUGGCUCACUGCAAUCUCUGCCUCCCAGGUUCAAGCAAUUCUCCUGCCUCAGUCCCCUGAGUAGCUGGGAUUACAGGUGUGCUCCACCAUGCCCGGCUAAUUUUUAGUAGAGACAGCGUUUCACCGUGUUGGUCAGGCUGGUCUCGAACUCCUGACCUCAGGUGAUCCACCCACCUCGGCCUCCCAAAGUGCUAGGAUUACAGGCAUGAGCCACCACACCCAGCCCAAAGUGUUCUAUUUUGACUACAGGUAAUCUCCCUCCAAUGAUAUGCCCUCUCAAGACCUUGUGACUUUGGAUGAUUUUAUUCUGCAUUUCUAGCCCAGCCUUCUGCAUUCAGAAAAGUCCCAUAGGGAAAACCAGAUACACAUUCAGGGCUCCUCCAGAUUCCUGUCUAUCACAUCAGUUUUAUUUGGCCAUGUGUAGCUCUUCUGGUUUCUCUUCCUCCAACUAGAGUGACUUUGUCUUUGGCGAGCUCGAUCCUAAGCCCAUACCUAGACCUGGCAGAUACCCCUAGGAAGAAAAAUGGACACUGGUGUCUACUCACCAAGGAAAGACUCUUACUUUUCUGGAAUUUAAAUCCUAUUGAUCUCUCUGUGUCCAUAGCUCUCUGAUGAUUUUUUAAAUGUGAUAUUUGUAAUUUUUUUUCCUAGUUGUUACCAUGGAAAUGAUGGUCUGCCCGUAUCUUCUGUAAAAACUGGAAUUAGAAAUCCUUUACCAUAUAACUUUCUGAUAAAUGUAUAGCUAUUUUCUUUGUACAAGAGAAUAACAAGUUCUAACAAAAGCUAUGUGACAUUUCUUAUAAUUUCUUGAUUAUUCAGCUUUUAACUUAAAUAACACAUGCUGUGUGAUCAUUCUGUAUUUAUAAAAUUGGACUUGUUAGAGCCAAGUGAUCAUUUAAAUUGUAUCUGCUUGGUAAAUGCAGGUGUAUCUGUUGCUGAUCGAGAGGCCAGUCUGGAAUUAAUUAAGUUGGACAUAUCCCGUACAUUUCCAUCUCUCUACAUCUUUCAGAAGGGUGGUCCAUAUCAUGAUGUCUUACACAGUAUUUUAGGGGCAUACACAUGCUACAGGCCUGAUGUUGGUUAUGAUCUUCACGCUAUAUAGCAAAUCACUACCACUUGAUCUGGCCUGUCGAGUCUGGGAUGUAUUUUGCAGAGAUGGGGAAGAAUUUUUAUUUAGGACUGGAUUAGGAAUCCUCCGAUUAUAUGAAGAUAUUCUCCUGCAGAUGGACUUUAUUCAUAUAGCACAGUUUCUAACUAAAUUGCCAGAAGAUAUCACGUCGGAAAAGCUGUUCAGUUGUAUUGCAGCCAUUCAGAUGCAGAAUAGCACCAAAAAAUGGACUCAGGUCUUUGCAUCUGUAAUGAAGGAUAUUAAAGAAGGAGACAAGAACAGUAGUCCUGCUUUGAAAAGCUAGUCUUCAAAAUUGACAGACUAACUGACAUAGAAAAAGUGGUUUUUGGAUAAAGGUUUUUUGUUUCCUAUGUAAAAGGCGUGGAAGAAAAUGUUGGAGAUACCUAAAAGAAUCAAGAGGUGGAAAACUGCUGAUUUUACAUUUUAUGGCUGAAGUAAAUGAAAUAAGUAACUUAUUGACAGUAUUAAUAAACUAUUAUUUUGU